CCGCCUGUAGCUCAGUUGGUAGAGCAGGGGACUCUUAAUCCCAAGGUCGAAGGUUCAAAUCCUUCCAGGCGGA
Molecule: transfer RNA, 73 nt
Filed under: Candidatus Kaiserbacteria bacterium
Lineage: Bacteria; Candidatus Kaiseribacteriota
Description: tRNA-Lys
Rfam family: tRNA
About the family: Transfer RNA (tRNA) molecules are approximately 80 nucleotides in length. Their secondary structure includes four short double-helical elements and three loops (D, anti-codon, and T loops).
Source: RNAcentral